GCUCUAUAUUAGUUAAAGUUGCUGUAUAUUAGAUAAAGUUGCUCUAUAUUAGUUAAAGUUGCUCUAUAUUAGUUAAAGUUGCUCUAUAUUAGAUAAAGUUGCUCUAUAUUAGUUAAAGUUGCUCUAUAUUAGAUAAAGUUGCUC
Long non-coding RNA from Acanthochromis polyacanthus (spiny chromis), 144 nucleotides. RefSeq lists it as uncharacterized. NCBI's taxonomy places the organism in Eukaryota, Metazoa, Chordata, Actinopteri, Pomacentridae. The record is from RefSeq and is a predicted model, not a curated record. The transcript has 2 exons.